This is a long non-coding RNA of Gossypium arboreum, 373 nucleotides long. RefSeq lists it as uncharacterized. The record is from RefSeq and is a predicted model, not a curated record. NCBI's taxonomy places the organism in Eukaryota, Viridiplantae, Streptophyta, Magnoliopsida, Malvales, Malvaceae. The transcript has 3 exons.
AUAGUACGUUGAAUCAGUAUCCCAAGACGAUCCCGAAUUCAUUAAGAUCUAGAAGAUUCAAAUACAAAGCUAGAUCGAGGAAAGGAAAAAGUUCGGGAUUAGUAGAUUUUUGUUUACAAGCAAGUCUCGAGUGUUAAGAGCUCGGAGGUCGGAUUUGGUCGGAGACACAUCACACUAUCAACUUCAAGAUUUCGGUAUAUCAAGAAACUUUAUUUUGAAAAUCAAUGGCAUGUAUAAGCUAAUAAAGUAAAUGUUAACGUGAAAUGAAUGUAAAGUUAGUCAUUGGUAUGGUUAACAAACCUGAUUUUGGUAUGUGAUGAUGUUAUCUUAUAAAUAUGCGUGAAUCUAUAUGCGUUAAUCUAUCUUGAAAAUA